CCCGGCGUAGUAUAGUGGUUAUUACAUCUAGGGGUACCCUUUCGAGGGAUCUUUCGCUGACGUGGGUUCGAAUCUCGCCACCGGGA
This 86-nucleotide transfer RNA is filed under the name Fusarium tricinctum. RNAcentral describes it as "tRNA-Glu". It matches the Rfam family "tRNA". Rfam says of the family: Transfer RNA (tRNA) molecules are approximately 80 nucleotides in length. Their secondary structure includes four short double-helical elements and three loops (D, anti-codon, and T loops). Lineage: Eukaryota; Fungi; Ascomycota; Sordariomycetes; Hypocreales; Nectriaceae. The record is from RNAcentral.